ACGACUCUCGGCAACGGAUAUCUCGGCUCUCGCAUCGAUGAAGAACGUAGCGAAAUGCGAUACUUGGUGUGAAUUGCAGAAUCCCGUGAACCAUCGAGUCUUUGAACGCAAGUUGCGCCCGAAGCCUUUUGGCCGAGGGCACGCCUGCCUGGGCGUCACGCAA
This 163-nucleotide ribosomal RNA is filed under the name Coriaria ruscifolia. RNAcentral's name for it is "5.8S ribosomal RNA". It matches the Rfam family "5.8S ribosomal RNA". From Rfam's summary of the family: 5.8S ribosomal RNA (5.8S rRNA) is a component of the large subunit of the eukaryotic ribosome. The record is from RNAcentral. Lineage: Eukaryota; Viridiplantae; Streptophyta; Magnoliopsida; Cucurbitales; Coriariaceae.